This 3457-nucleotide long non-coding RNA is filed under the name Heterocephalus glaber (naked mole-rat). RNAcentral's name for it is "lncRNA (ENSHGLG00000032430.1)". The record is from RNAcentral. Lineage: Eukaryota; Metazoa; Chordata; Mammalia; Rodentia; Bathyergidae.
AUGUAAUUAAAUCAAAGUCAGUCAGGUGCCAAUUUGAGCUUUUGCCUCACUCUAACAACGUCCUGCUCUCAGGAGCUAAACAAGACAGGACUGACCUGAAAUAACCCCACCGAGCUCUGACCCAGGGACUCUCCAGAGCAGUGGACGCUUUCUUCCCAGGAACCAACUGUGAGAUGCUAGCGCCUGACCCAUCUUCUUCCUCAACUCCACCUUGACUGGAGACUCUGCCUUGAGGAUCUUCCCAAAUCCACAGAAAGGAAUGAAUACUUUCUAGAGAAUGAAGAACAAAUGAACUCUGAAGACUGUCCUACCUUCGACAGUGUUCUGCGAGUUUUUACAAAAAUGACUACAAUUUGCCUGAACUUAGUGCAAUGAGGAUGCACAAAGUAAAACCCAGACCUGGCCUGCCUGUGUUUCAGUCUGGAGGGAGAUGAUCUUCCUGCAAACAGCAGUUACAACUUGGUGUAAUGAGAGAGCACUGAGCUCUUGAAACAGAAUCUACCCAACAUUAAGAUUGGAGGACCAAUCUCCUGAGCUGGAAGAGAUCAUGAAAAUUUUCUCAGAAAAGAGCACUGGAUGGAGAAAAUAGGAGCUCCGAUGGCUUCUUUAUCACCUUACUCUGUGACUCUGGAUAAAAUUUCCAUAUUCAAUAUUUCUGUAAACAAAAUCAAUGAUGCUUGAUUAUGGUUGCCAAGAUAUUUGAAGGUUUUAUGAUGAUUUUCAUGAAAUGGGACGUUUCUGCCUAUUGUGGGAAUUGCAGUAUAGACCUACCAUCUCUGAGAAAAGUUGGACCACCUACCCCUGGUGGAAUGGUAUUGGCUUCGAAAGUCAAUAUUGGCUGGAAGUAUUUAAGCAGAAGUUACCCAAGAUACUACAGUGGAGCCAUGACAGAUGCAUUGGCUUCCUUAAAGCUUUGGGAGGAUCAUACCACGUGGAAGCAAUUUAUAGAUUCUAAAGAACUUUGCAAUUGGACAUCAUAUUCUGGAUUUACUGAAGUGAUCUCAGACCAGUACUACUCCACUGUGUAUAAAUCCUACACCUUGAAAUAACUUCAAGAAUCAACAAAUGGAAUCAUAUAAAAUUGAAAAACUUCUUUACAGCGGAGGAAACAACUCAGAGAGUGAGGAGACAACCUACAGAAUGGGAAAAAAAUUUUGACAGCUAUUCCACUGGUAGGGGACUAAUAUGUACAAUAUAGAAAUAACUCAAAAAAAUUAAGACUCCCUGAAGAAUAACAGACACAAUCAAAAAAUGAGUAACCUAAAUGAGUAGCCACUUCUCAGAAGAACCAAUAAAUACAUGAAGAAAUGCUCAGUGUCACAACUAUUAAAAAAUGCAAAUUAAACCACACUGAGAUUUCAUCUGACCCCAGAAAAAAUGGCCAUCAUCAAGAAUCAAACAAUAACAAAUAUUGGCAAGCCUGAGGAGGAAAUGGAACCUUUCUACAUUGUUGGUGGGAAUGAAAACCAGUACAAUCAUUUUGGAAAUCAGUAUGGAGAUUCUUCAAAAAAAUAGAAAUUUCAUUUUACCCAGCUAUUCUCCUUCCAGGUAUCUUCCUGAAAGUUUUGAAGACAUCAUAUUACAGUGAUAUAUGUUUAUCCAUGUACAUAGCAGCAAAAAUCCUCAUAGUUUACUCUUGGAAGCAGCCAAUAUGCCCAUCAACAGAUGCAUGGAUAAACAUUUUCUAUUCUUUCCAUUAACGUGAGAUGACCAUUAUUACUCUGUCCAUUGCCGAUUGGAUUAAUUUUGAUUAGCAGCUCUAUUUCCCCCUUUUCCAUGUCUCUAUUUGAGAGGAAUAUACUACUUAUUCAUUGAAGGGUGACUUACGACAGUAGAAGGUGAGUAGAAAUGGUAAGCAGAGGUUUGAACAGAAGCUUUUUAUUAUUCAUUAAUUUUAUUGGUACAUUUAGGUAUGCAAUACAAUGACAUUCAUCAUUAGGAAUUUGGACCUUUACAUGAUUUAUCUUGUUCUUACUUUUGACCCAUUCCCCUCCCUUCCCUUCAAUCCCUCCACCUCUCCCUAUUUACAAAAACAUUGUUUGUGUUUUUUUCCUUAUCUCAUAUUUAUUCCUUUCUCUUCUUUCCUUCCCCUUACUUCUCCACCUUCCCCUUCCCCUUUGGACCUUUUCGUCCUAUUUCACAUUAUUCAUUAUACAUUUUGCUCCUUAUUUACAAUUUCAGUUUAAGUGAAAUAAAUAGUACACAGAUGUGUAAAUAUCAAAUAGUUUCUCUGGUGUGAAAAGAAGCUUUGGGAUUUUGAGUCCACCUUAUCAUAUCACCCUUUCUUUACCAUUAGACUAUCAAGGUCCAAGAUUAAGGCAGGGGCAGCCCAGCCUUGGUUUCAAAGUGUAAACAAUACAGGAGUUUAUAAAGCUUUAGUAAGUGCUCAGCUGCAUACUGGCAAAGCUGAAAUUUGAAGUUAGAUUUGUCCUAAUCCAAAUCACAUGAACUUGGCCCUUACAUUGCAGUUCCUUUUUAGUCCUGAUUUCAUAUCAUUUUUCUGAAUUUUGCAGUAACUUCUUUAAAACCACAGUAAAUAGCUAUUUUUAAAGAAAUGGAAUAUGGAUAGGUUCUAGUAAGGAAGGGAAUAGGACAAAGGCAGCGUAUUGUUCAGCUUUCCUGUUGCUGGGACCAAAUAUACAACACUUACAACUAAAAGAAAAGGUUAAUUUAGAUCAUGGUUUCAUAGGAUUCAGUCUAUGUCUGGUUGGUGUGAUAGUUAACUGUUUUGUCAACUUGAGUAAGAAGUGCUGGACUGAUUGGAUUAACAUGGUUCUGGGUGUGACAGCAUGGAUUUACUGAAGAUGAAAGACCCACCAAGAGUGGUCCCAAUCAACAGUCUUGUAGCCUGAAUGAAAUAGGAAGGGGCAAGAGGAAAGAAGGCUCACUUCUGUUUCUUCAGAGGAACUCCAGUCUCUCACUUCACCUUGGAUGUCUGUCUCCUGACUUGCAGCACAAACUCUUCAGCCCCCUGAUACAGACUCACACAAGACUCUAUAGGGAGCUUCAGGACUUUGAUUUUUGACUGGCUCCUUUGGAACUCUAGUGCACAGACACCCCUUUUGCAUUCUUCUGCCUCUGACCCAGUAGGUGGCCAUUGUAAGCCUAUGUUGUAAAGAUAGAUAGAUAGAUGAUAGAUAGAUAGAUAGAUGACCAAAAACACACACAUACUUCAGAAAAAGAAAAAUAGUAUGAUGUUUUCUCAACAGACGGUGUUACCCUUAUAUGGGGGACCCUAGAGGAUGUUGUAUAUCACAGAAAACCCAUUACACUGCCGAUCCUUAGAGGAGAAAUUGAAAAUGCAUGUGUAGCAAUCUGAAUGACCACAGUUACCUAAGCAGCAGUUCGCCGUACGAAUAAAUAUCUUCAAGGUAAUCAUCACCACUUUGAGCACCUCUUGUAAUUGUAGAGGACAAAGGUAACUUGUAUGAGGCCUCAAUAAACUUAGUAUUAAAAU